AUAGAGACUCAGAGCUGCAUAUCAAUAAGCGGAGGAAAAGAAACUAACAAGGAUUCCCUUAGUAACGGCGAGUGAAGCGGGAAGAGCUCAAAUUUGAAAUCUUCAAGGUUCUACCUUGACGAAUUGUAGUUUAUAGAAGUGUUUUCUGUUAGUGGAGUGGCAAAAGUUCUUUGGAAUAGGACAUCAUAGAGGGUGAGAAUCCCGUAUUUGGUCAUUCCUCCUAGCGUUGUGAUACACUUUCAACGAGUCGGAUUGUUUGGGAAUGCAGUCCAAAAUGGGUGGUAAAUUUCAUCUAAAGCUAAAUAUUGGCGAGAGACCGAUAGCGAACAAGUACCGUGAGGGAAAGAUGAAAAGAACUUUGAAAAGAGAGUUAAACAGUACGUGAAAUUGUCAAAAGGGAAGCGUUUGACACCAGUGUUGUUUUUCCGAAAAUCAAUUACGAAUGUUUUGUUUUUGAGGAGUUAUGACUUCAUCGGCUUGCUCCUUUCUUUACGAAACUUUCUUAAUGCACUUUUCGGUUAACAAGUCAACAUCAAUUUCUUUUGUUGUAAAAGGGUAUGAGGAAGGUGGCUUUCUUUUCGGAGAAAGUGUUUAUAGCCUUGUGCCUCUACAAUCGGAGAGAUUGAGGUCUGCAGCGUAGAUCCUUCGGGGUUAGAUACGUUUGUGCUAAGUUAUAGCUUUUCAUAGACAACUUGUUGACUAUGUUUAGUCUUGUAGCUUACUCGCUGACGCUAUUUUACCUACGCUUAGGAUGUUGAUAGUCACAGCGUGUAC
RNAcentral lists this ribosomal RNA (774 nucleotides) under uncultured Neocallimastigales. Its description in RNAcentral is "partial large subunit ribosomal RNA". It matches the Rfam family "Eukaryotic large subunit ribosomal RNA", at positions 23 to 644 of the family's 3401-position model. The record is from RNAcentral. Lineage: Eukaryota; Fungi; Neocallimastigomycota; Neocallimastigomycetes; Neocallimastigales.